This 70-nucleotide transfer RNA is filed under the name Crocodylus johnstoni (Johnstone river crocodile). RNAcentral describes it as "Crocodylus johnsoni (Johnstone river crocodile) tRNA-Gly". It matches the Rfam family "tRNA". From Rfam's summary of the family: Transfer RNA (tRNA) molecules are approximately 80 nucleotides in length. Their secondary structure includes four short double-helical elements and three loops (D, anti-codon, and T loops). Lineage: Eukaryota; Metazoa; Chordata; Crocodylia; Crocodylidae. The record is from RNAcentral.
GCUCUUCUAGUAUUGACAAUACAAAUGACUUCCAAUCAUUAGACCCUGGAACCAACCUCAGGGAAGAGCA